GUUCUCGCUUCGGCAGCACAUAGACUAACAUUGGAAUGACAUGAGAAGAUCAGCACAGCCCAUGCAUAAGGAUGACAUGCAAAUUCAUGAAGCGUUCCGUAUUUAA
Phyllostomus discolor (pale spear-nosed bat) is the source of this 106-nucleotide small nuclear RNA. The record is from RefSeq and is a predicted model, not a curated record. Lineage: Eukaryota; Metazoa; Chordata; Mammalia; Chiroptera; Phyllostomidae.